UGGGUUUUUAAUAUUUAAUUUUUUUGCCAUUUUUUCAGCUAAUAACUAUUGAUAAUACUCAUUCUUUUUCUUAUGAAUUUUACUUUGUACUUCAAUUAAAUAAAUGAUCCUGGAGUUGCAAUUGUUGCAUAAAAUGGUGGGUGUUUGGGGCAAUGUUGAAUCUUCCUAUGUCUUGCUCUAUUGCUGUGUUAGCGUAUGAGUCCGUUUUUGGUUUUUAAUACAUUCUGUUGGAUCGUAAUGAUUGAACUAAUUGGUUCUGAUGUUUCUGGACUAUAGAAUCGCGCAACUUUGAUAGUCGGGAGAUUCAUUCAAUUGAAUUCACAGACAAUGAAAACAUUGUAGUUUAUUGUUUUUGUAGAAGCUAUGAAGUAUUAGGUUUUAUUGAAUAAUACUGAAGGCAGAAUACAUCUUUAAAUAUACAGAGGUCUAACAACUUAAAACCAACUAAGAGAAUAAACUGCAGAGAAAUAGCUAACAAACCUUUGGAAUAGGACUAAGCAAAGACUAAAUAACUGAUUCUAUACAAUGAUUGAUAAAAUCUAACAAGCUAACUAGUUUGACUUGGUAUACGUUCCACAGUUUUUACUGUUGCCAAGCAGGGUCAGGGGUGAGUCACUCUAGCUUGUUGAAUUUUCUCCGUUGUAUUCAUACAUUUCAUUGUGAGAAGAGAAACAAACAAAAUCAAUGUGUAGGAGCACAAAAAUUUUAGUUUGCACAGUCUUUAUUUAUCACUAUUAAACUUUAACUUUGAAAUUCAACUACUUCAUGAUAUUGAGCUGCAAAUUCAUCUAUAAUGUAAUGGCUAGGUUAGUAAAUUGGCACUGAUUUCAGAUUGAAUGAGGAUGACAUUGCAGAAAUGUGUCUGUUGGUGCCCUGUUUGUGUUUAUUUUGGUAGCUAAUUUUAGUCCUUAUCAUCAUCAACUAUCUAGGUGAGGCAUUUCAGAUAUCAUUUAUUUUGAGGCAUUGAUUAUCUGGUUGAAGGGACCAGUUAUUAAACUAGUGAAACUAGAAAAGAUGAUGUUCUCUAAGUAACAUUUUCUUGUCCAAAAUUAAUCGGCCUAUUUCAAAACAUAGGUCGUAGGUCGUGGUGUGCCAGGACAAGGGAAAAAAGGCAGCCUAAACCUAAGGUCUCUAAUAUUGUUUAGGUGAUAUGAUCAGGUCCUGUUCUGUAAUAACUGUAUUAAUGCUGCUAGAACCUGCUACUGUAUACACUGUUUUUUGCCUUACCGCUUGGCCUGGGUUAUUAGCAGAACUUCGCUUGGCUAUUGGCGUGAGUUGAUAGGAGAAUUUUGCUUGGCUGUUGGCGUGAGUUGAUAGGAGAAUUUUGCUUGGCUAUUGUGACUUUGUUAUAUUUUGCAUUUGGGGACGUUAACUGAAAGUAAAAAUACGAUGCACCCUCUCUCAGUUCAGUUUCUAAUUGCAAGGAAGCUUUCAGUUUCUAAUUUCAAGCAAAAUGGGAGAAAUAGCUGGAACUUUAGUUCAUGUAGAAAAUGGACUAAAGUUUGACCGUCGUCUUUCUUUUAUAACUAAAUCUGUAAUUGUCUUUAUCAUGUAAGAUGUAGAAAGAUUAUAUUGUUUUUAUGUUUAUAAAACUAGCGUACCUAAUUAAUUGGCAUAUAGGUCACUCUGUUCAUUUUGAAAAAUACUAAUGUUGGUCAGAUCAGGUGGAAAUUUUGGAACUGAAACUGGAGCCUUUUUUAUUUUUCAAAUAAGAUUAAAGUAGCAAAAAUUAGUUGCUUGGUAUUUGGCAUUGUUUGAGUAGAGCAUAUACUUCACCGCGGUUAGUCUUGUCUUUUGUAUAUACUAGGCAAGAUAGAGUGGUAUUUAAUUGUUCCUAAACCUUAUGUUUUCCUUACGCGCUACAUCAAGGCCUGGAUUCCCGGCAAUGAAAUGUAGAACAUGCUCUGAUGAAUCAAGUUCCAUUUCCUUUUGUCCAUCAAUGGUUACUGCCUCGGCUGUCUAUUGUACAAGACUUAGUGCACUGAACUUUUUUGUAUAAUUUGCCAUUGCUCAAAACUUUUGAAGAUUAUGUUCAAGUAUUCCUCUAUGCAUUGAAUAGUAAAUGUUCUGACAUCUUUGAGUUCUGCAUUUACUACCUAUGUUCUGGUUCAUGAUGCAUUCGGAGAUAAUGGUGGUGGAAGAAAAGAAUCAAGUGGUGAUGCAUAGCUCCUUCAACUAUGAAGCUGAUAUUCUUGAACUUUGUAUUGAGUGGCCUUUGUUUUGAAGAUGAUAUUUAAGAAUAAUAAUAUUAUAAUAGUAGAUAGGAUGUUUUGGGUAUUAAAUUUGUGUUUAAGAUACUAGCUAGUUAAUUUAAUAGUUUGGAUAAUGGGUAAACUUAAUUUGAUGAUAUAAUUUGGAGCGAGCUAAGUAUGUAUUAUUACAUUUAGAUAUGUAUAAUAUAUAUUAGUAUCUUUAAGUUAUUA
RNA transcript from Spinacia oleracea (spinach), 2423 nucleotides. RefSeq lists it as uncharacterized. The record is from RefSeq and is a predicted model, not a curated record. Lineage: Eukaryota; Viridiplantae; Streptophyta; Magnoliopsida; Caryophyllales; Amaranthaceae. The transcript is spliced from 4 exons.